This is a long non-coding RNA of Limulus polyphemus (Atlantic horseshoe crab), 2017 nucleotides long. RefSeq lists it as uncharacterized. The record is from RefSeq and is a predicted model, not a curated record. Lineage: Eukaryota; Metazoa; Arthropoda; Merostomata; Xiphosura; Limulidae. The transcript is spliced from 2 exons.
GUGUAAGGCGGUAAUUAAUUCUUUAUGCUAUUGUCAUUAAGUGGGUAAUGAGUCACAAAACAAAUAAUCAAAACAUUUCAGAGGUGUGGGGGCGCCAAAAGUGUCUUUGCCCCCAGGUGCUAAGAACCCUUGCCACCCAUUGAAUGGAUGUCAUAAAUCCAUUGAAGAAAUGAAUAAAGCAUUGAAUAUCAGGUGAUCAUAAAAUGUACUCGUAACACUACAAUAAAUAUUGGAGAUUCUGAAAAAGUUAUUAGGUUAUAAAAUGUAUUCUUUCUAAUCUACAUACAGGUUGUUUUUCCGACGUCAUUACCCUUUGCUGAACAUCAGCUAUUGUGGAUUUGAUCCAGAUAACCGUUGCUGGACAAAACAGAUUGAUGCUGGGCUAUUACCACUCAGUUCUAGGCGUUGCUUUGGAUUCGUGGCAAAAAAACCACCCAGUCACAUUGACAACCAAUGUCACGUGUUUGCUGAAAUUGAUCCCAGUAACCCUGCGUCUGCUAUUGUGAGUUUGGUAGAAAAUGUCACAGCAAGUGCACCUAAGACUAUGAAGAGCAGCACAUAAAAGAGUAGAAGUACAAAUUGUUACCUUUUCUUCUAUAGUUAUAAUAUAAACGAAAAUCAGUAGGUAUCUUGAUGAUCACCCUUUGGAAUUACUCAGUGAGUGAUAUUCGUCAUUAACCAUGACCUUUGACCAUUUUUUUGUUCAAAAUUAGUAUAUGUAGAAGAACAUCGUUUUUAAAAUUUGAGCAGAGAAAAUUUGCUUUGGUGGCAAUUUUUAAUUUAUAUAUCCAUACCCAAAGAACAGUUUAACUUUCAGACGCUAUUCUAAAAGAAUUUGGAAAAAGAAAGUCACUGUGUUAUUUAUACACUGAUGUAAAAGAAGUCUCCAAUUAAAACUUUUGAAAUUAUUCAUAUUGUACCUAUAAAACCAAAAACAAAAAGCUUAAAUGGAAAUGUGACUCAUCUAACGCUAGAAUCUGUAUUUUUAUUUUGGCCGUGUUAUUAUAAUGGGAAUGCUUUGUUUAAUAGUUGGAAAAUUAAUCAUUAUUGUAAUUGUGAAAUUUUAUUUUUAUUUUCAUUAAAAAUUCAUUAAAUUCACAUUUUAAAUGGUCCUGUUGAUUAUCUAAUCUAAAUAUAUUACUCGUACAUAAUAUAUAUAGGACUUGUGUAAUCUUAUAAUUGUUAAAGGAGACUAAAAUACAAAAGAUAAUGUACUGAUAUGGAUAUAAGAUUUUUAUUUUUUGAAAUUAGAAUUGUAAUAGUUGUCUUAGUUAUGUACGUUAUGAAUGAUUUUGUGCACAAGCUAGAAUCUUCCAAGAUAUUUCUACUCUAAAUGAUUGAAAAAGAAAAAGAUUACAUUUCCAACUGGAGUAAUAUGCUGUGUACUUAAAAUAGAUAAAUAUAAUCUAAUGUAGUUAGUUUCAUGGAGCCGAAUGUUUUUUUAUUGAAUUAAUGUAUGAAAUAUUCCUCACCAUUUUAUAUCAUCAAAUGGAUUGUAUCUCCACGGAGUUAUUAUUAAGUAUUUUAUGUAAUCCUGUUUCCGGCACAUAAAACAUAUGUUCUUCAUGAAACAAAUAAUGUAUAGUAUCUUGUUAGGCCCAGUUGAAAUACUUUACUUAGACAAUUAUAUGUUUUAUAAAAUGCUUCAUCCAUUCAUAUGGCUUUGUUACAUACCUGUUCAUUUAUAUAGUUUAUGUACUUUUAUCUUAGCUGGCAAUAUAGUUUUAUUAUCAGUGCUGGCCUUAGCAAGUGUGAGGCUCCAAGUAGUAAUGUAAUCAGAAUAUAUAAAUUUUUAUUCUGAUGAAUUUAUUUUGGAUCAACAUUUACUAAGUUGUAUUUUACGUCCAAGAAAUACAACCUCCUGUUUGUUUAAAAAGUAAGGAUUUUAUAAAUAUGUCAAAAAAGGAUAUAAGUUGUAUUAUAGUGCCAAAGCCUAUUGUAUUUCCUAAAAAAAGCCUUUUGUUUGUUCUGUUUUUGGAUCUUACAAUACAAAUAAAGAGAAUCAAUUGGAAUCAUU